CUCCAUUUUCAUCCCUACUUUUCAUUGAUUUUUAUUAGGUUUGGUGACAAUUGAACUUUAUAAAUUACUUUGGCACAACUUGUGUUGUCUUAUCCCAAGCUUUAGUACUUUUUCCACUACUUCAUAAUAACUCAAUAGACCAAAUAGCUGUGAAUUGAUGUACUCACUCUGUUUUAAUGUUAAUGUCCUAGUUUACUUACUAGAGCACGAUGUUUACGAAAUAAAAUGAGACUUUUCAAUCUUAGGCUCUUAAAUUAAGAUAUUGUGCUUCAAUACACAGAGGAAUAGGGCAAGGGCACGUUGGUAUAUGAAGCAUUCCGCGUUAAUAUGAUUGGGGGAAAAGGUGUAUCUCAAAGGAAUGUGAUGUAUACAACCUAACCUAAUACAAAGAUUAGUAUUAUUAGCCUUCACAGCUCAACUCUGUGUGUGACGUGUAGACAAAUUUACCGUUGCACCAACUUAUUCAUGAUAUAAUUGUCCCUGGGUAGAAAUUUAUUACUUGAUGGCCCUUUCUACACCCACCCUUAUUCUCUUGCUUCAAUUAUGGAAUGAAAAAACAGACUCCAUUGGAAAAAGGACAGUUUGCAAACACAGCUGUAACAAUUCAGAACACUAGCAAAAUAGAGAGAGUUUUGAGAGAAAUUCUUGUUUGCAAAUUACUCUUACCCUUCAGCAGAUUUCAGAAAUGGAGAUUGGAUUAGCAGUUGGUGGUGCAUUUCUCUCUUCAGCUUUGACUGUUCUCUUUGAUAGGCUUGCUCCUAACGGUGAUCUGCUCAACAUGUUUCAGAAGCAUAAGGAUCAUGUUAAGCUCUUAAACUCCAAGAAGUAGUGAUAUAUUUUUAUAGUGGAUAUGUUGUUUGCUCAUUCGGUGCUUGAUAUCCACAUUGGAGUCCAACUAAAUUCGAAUUUGUACAUUUGAAGGAGCGGCGCUCCUGACAUGAUUUUUUCCCAUUCUACGACUCAUGCUCCUAAAUUCUAAUUAAGGAUAGAAAAAUCUCAACUAUCUCACCCCAACUCAUAUCAGUUAUAUUCGAUAUAAAGUGUAAACUAAAAAUUUUAUCA
This is a non-coding RNA of Solanum lycopersicum (tomato), 1062 nucleotides long. Lineage: Eukaryota; Viridiplantae; Streptophyta; Magnoliopsida; Solanales; Solanaceae. The record is from RefSeq and is a predicted model, not a curated record.